AGGUAGUGACAAGAAAUAACAAUACAGGGCUAAUGUCUUGUAAUUGGAAUGAUGGCGACGUAAAAGCUCGCCAGAGUACCAAUUGGAGGGCAAGUCUGGUGCCAGCAGCCGCGGUAAUUCCAGCUCCAAUAGCGUAUAUUAAACUUGUUGCAGUUAAAAAGCUCGUAGUUGAACUUCAGCCGUUGCGCCGUCCGACUUUGGUUGGUGUGUCGCUGUGGCUUAUCCUUUUACUUUGAGAAAAUUAGAGUGUUUCAAGCAGACUUUUGUCUUGAAUACUUCAGCAUGGAAUAAUAGAGUAGGACCUAUGUUCUAUUUUGUUG
Molecule: ribosomal RNA, 320 nt
Filed under: Babesia major
Lineage: Eukaryota; Apicomplexa; Aconoidasida; Piroplasmida; Babesiidae
Description: SSU rRNA
Rfam family: Eukaryotic small subunit ribosomal RNA
Source: RNAcentral